This 252-nucleotide ribosomal RNA is filed under the name uncultured bacterium. RNAcentral describes it as "partial 16S ribosomal RNA". It matches the Rfam family "Bacterial small subunit ribosomal RNA", at positions 524 to 776 of the family's 1533-position model. The record is from RNAcentral.
UACGGGGGGGCAAGCGUUGUUCGGAAUUACUGGGCGUAAAGGGCGCGUAGGCGGGCAGGCAAGUCUGGGGUGAAAUCUUUCGGCUUAACCGGAAAAGUGCCUUGGAUACUGCUUGUCUCGAGGGAGGUAGGGGCAGAUGGAACUUCCGGUGGAGCGGUGAAAUGCGUUGAUAUCGGAAGGAACGCCGGUGGCGAAAGCGAUCUGCUGGACCUCUUCUGACGCUGAGGCGCGAAAGCUAGGGGAGCAAACGGG